Erythranthe guttata (spotted monkey flower) is the source of this 522-nucleotide non-coding RNA. The record is from RefSeq and is a predicted model, not a curated record. NCBI's taxonomy places the organism in Eukaryota, Viridiplantae, Streptophyta, Magnoliopsida, Lamiales, Phrymaceae.
GUUUGCAACGAAAAUGAAGUCUAGUUUUGCUGUGUUCUGUUUUUUUGUUGGCUUCAUGAAAAUGUUAUAUAUGCCUUCCUGGUAAGAGAAAGUUACAACCUGAAUUCAAUAUUCAUAUAUGCUGAUACUGUAUCCUACGAUGCAGUAGGUUAUGAAAUUUGAAGGUCUCGGCAUGGAGACUUCGAUUUGAAGGUACAAUCUCGUACGAUGGAGAAGAGUUGUCUUGGUGGAAGAAGAAAGUGUGCAUUUAAUUCGAAUUUUAAUUCUUCCAUAAACAUCUUUUAAGCCGAACUCGUCACACGUGGUCAAGUUUAUGUGAUUUACAUCUAUCUUGCAAUGCGAGCUAUUGCACGAGGGUGAAGUUUGUCCCGUGCAAUUCUAGUGGUUGUGGAUAAUUUUAACAAUCAUACAAAAAUAUUUAUUUUUUUCAUUUUUGUUGCAAUUUUUUUUUGUAAUUUAAUAAUUUGAUGUAUUUAUAAUAAACAAGUGGUUUUGGUAAAUUAUUUGCAAGUAUUUUUGUAA